Long non-coding RNA from Girardinichthys multiradiatus, 385 nucleotides. RefSeq lists it as uncharacterized. The record is from RefSeq and is a predicted model, not a curated record. The transcript has 4 exons. NCBI's taxonomy places the organism in Eukaryota, Metazoa, Chordata, Actinopteri, Cyprinodontiformes, Goodeidae.
CAAGAACACGCAGCCCUGAGCAGCGUCAACAAAACAAACAAUUAAAAUACAGAUUAAAACCAGCGGGGCCACAUGGGGGAUGUGGGGCUCUGUAUGAAUGAGGAUGGAGGUCGGAAGGUCCAGCACUUCAGGAAAAUGGUUUACAGCGGCGCCUGGUGGUCACAUGGCCGAACUGCAGCAGCUUCAGUCAAAGACUGCAGGUUGCCUCAUUCAGCUGCUGAAUGCCUUGUUCCUCCUCUGCCUCAGCUUGGCUCUCAUUAAGAUAUUUUAUUAACUCUCCAUAACAACUGUCCCCCCAUACGGCUUCUUCAGUCGGGCUAAUCCCUACAUAUUUGACCAAUUGUGGAUGUUUGAGCAUUUUCACCUGAAGUGGGAGGGAACCGUG